GACAGCAGGGAGACUCGCAGACUUAUUACCAAAAGCGCGAUUUAUCGACGGGAAUGUACGGCGUCGUGAGUCGAGCAUCACUGCUGCUGCUACCACAGUUGUGUGGGAAUCCGCCAGACUUUGGGGCUGAGAUCAGAAUCCCACAUCCUGUGGGUUGGAGUUGAAAUUUACUGCUGCUGCUAGAAUGGGGAGCUAAUACUUUCUUCCUCCAAAGCAGACGGCAAGAGGCUGCAAGUUCUGCAUUCAGUCAAGGCGAUCAAGACCGUGACAUUACUGAACACUUCAACUCCUGAGCUUCAGAACUGAACUCACGGUACCGAUGCCUACAAAUGGGCCUCAAAUGACGAAAGUUGAUGAAUCAUUAGCAGAAUUCAUUUCUUCUACACGGACUGGUCGAAGGGAUGCUCUACCUGACAUAACCGAUUCAGGGCCAGCUUCAAGAACAGACGUGGCCAAAAGCACUGUAGACGUGUCAAAAAGUUCGAUCAAACCCGAAGAUUGGAAUCAAUCAACAAGCACUGUUAAAGGAGCACAGCCUCCCCCUGGCAAAACAGCAAGCCAAGAGAAGACCCCCUCUAAGUGAAAGGAUGACUGAGAAUGUGGGUGGUGGGCAUGAAUCUAGUUUUGACCAUGCCCUAUGUAAUAAUCUCUGAAGAAGUGUCAUCCUUUCCCAUACAAAAAGGAUAAUUCAAAGAACUAUGUAAUUCAAAGAAAUUGAUAUAUAUACUAGAUUUAAUUUAUCUACACCAAUUAGCAUUGUUGAGUUUUUUGUUCUAAGCUCUGAUAUAUCAGCUACAGUACAUGAUAACUGGUAUUUGGAGAGUAAAAAUAAAAUAUAAAUAUUUGCAUUCAGUUGAAUAUUAUUUAAUAUCCACAGUUUGUUUGCUGUCUUUUGGAUUGCAUGGACCAUUAAUUACUGAUCCUUAUCAGUUUGUUACAAAAAGGUAAUCAAGGAGGCUAAAUAAUAUCAAUUAAACGCCACAACUCCACUAGAUGUCCCACAAGGUGAUGGGAUUCAUCUUUUCUUGUUAGACAGAAUUUUGUACAUCAUCAGCUAUUAUAUUUGCCCAUUUCUGGGUGUUUGUGGUGGACUUAUGAAUAGGAAACCGUUUCGGAACAGCGACUUCUGUAGAGGGACCACAAGCUACCUGAACUUGGAAAGCAACUGAAUUUAUUGCUGGCCAAGCAGACUGAAGAAAUGGUUCUGGUGCAGCCCAGAGUCUAAACCAGGCUAGGUAUAUAAGAGUGGUUUAUUCAUUGAUAUCCUGCACAGAACAUGAAGUAGAGGGAAAGAAAGAUAGCAUUAAGAGAGGGGUGAAAGUGAGAGCAUGUGCUCAGCAACCACUUGCUCACGUUUUUAAAACUGCUGUCUAGGUGGCAGUGUCACAAAUGUUCUUUCUCUUCUGGAAGAGUAAGGCAGCUCAAUUGGCUCCUGUCUACUUGCCACAUGUGAGGUAACUGGACACUCCAGUCUAAUUUAAACUUUGAUAGUCAUGUGUUCUAAUAGUUUCACUUAUUUCUACAGCAAACCCCAGCCUACUAAGUCUCAACUGACUUGCAAACGUAUAAUAUAAAUUAGUUCCUGUAUGUGCAUCACAGUGUUUGGUGAUUUGUACUCUGGACACCUCAAAGUUGAAUUGGUAUAGUUGCAUUGAAAAUCAAUAAAUAUCUGGAAUCAAAAGUUUUAAUCCACUUCUGAUGAUUCAAAGUUGCUAUUCCAAAUGAUUCUACACGUCUUGCACAUCUAAUUUAGAGAUACAGCGCGGAAACGGGCCCUUUGGCCCACCGAGUCCACGCCGACCAGCGAUCCCCGCACACUAACACUAACACUGUCCAACACUCGAGGGACAAUUUCCCAUUUUACCGAAGUCAAUUAAUCCACAAACCUGUACGUUUUUGGAGUGUGGGAGAAAACCGGAGCACCCAGAGAAAACUCACAGAGUGAACAAGCAAACUCCGUACCGACAGCACCCAAAGUCAGGAUCAAACCUGGGUCUCUGGUGCUGUAAGGUAGCAACUCUACCACUGUGCCCCCCGUGCUUAUCCAAUUGGAGACUACUCGUGUUCAAUGUGAGAUGGAUUAUCCAACCUAUUCCAAAAUUAGUUACUGAUCACUUGGUUAUCUUGCAAAAUAUUCUGUUUUCUCUCUCCAUCAAAGAAAUAGAUUUUUUUUUUCUUGAGAGAGAGUUCGUACAUCAGGAUGAGAAUUUUAAAAUCAAAGUGAGGCAUAAUUUAGGAGCCAGCAUAGGUCAUCAAGUAUAGGAGAAAUGGGACUUGCUUUGAAUGUGGAUACAUGUAACAGGGAUUUGAAAGACUUGAAGAAGGAGGGAAGUAAAAUGGGAAUGCCAGGCUGGGGAGAAGUGGUUUAGUUGAGUCUAAAGGUAACAAGAUAGAAUCAUAGUCAUACAGUGUGGAAACUGACCCUUUAGCCUAGCUUGCCCACACUGGCCAUCAUGUCCCAUCCACAAUAGUCUCACCUGCCUACGUUUGGCCCGUAUCCCUCUUAUCCCUGUACCUAUCUAGAUGUUUCUUAAACGUUGCAAUAGUACCUGCCUCAACUACCUCCUCCAUACACCUGCCACCUUUUGUGUGGAAAACAUUACCCCUCGGGUUCCUAUUAAAUCUUUCCCCACUCACCUUAAACCCCUGUCCUCUGUGUCCUUGGGUUCUCGAUUCCACAACUCUGGGCAAGAGACUCUGUUCAUCUACCCGAUCUAUUCCUCUCGUGGAUGAGACAAACUAUUUGGCACACAGGCAGUGAUAGGUGAUGCAUUGGAGGCUGCAAUGGGUGUUCCAAGUCAUAACAUGGGCAUGAUGUUCAAAUCGGAGGCUCAAAUGCGAUGAUGGGUUUGUGGGCAAUAGGUUUUGUUUUUUAGAUGGAUAUCAUGAAGAGAUUGUACAGCUGAGGAAAGUGGCUUCUGGUGGGGAUUGCAAGCUCUUCCAUCUCUCUUUCUAAUGCUACAUCAUAGUCACAUGGUCAGAGUCCAUGUGCAUUUGGAAGAAAUGUCUGCUUUUCAGACAAUGUAAGGCAGCAGCUGCCAAUUUAAUAGGGGAGGGGACAACAACAUCAUUUAUCAAAAGAUUAGUGGAAAUCCUGUUCAUGCUGCAUUAUUGAAGUUUCUAUUGAAAUUAUAGUACAAGCCAGAGGAAAAAAAAUCAUGUUCAUGUGCUAAAAGCAGAAUAAGGCCAUUUGACCUUUUCCUUUCUAUCCUUUUCAUAUGAUUUUUUUCCCCUCAGUCUUGAACCAUAUAUAAUUCCAAUAGAAACUUCAAUAAUGCAACAGGAUUUCCAAUAAUCUUUUGAGUCUAUUCCGCCAUUAAGAAUAAGGAAUAAGCCAUUUAGAACGGAGACGAGGAAACACUUUUUCUCACAGGGAGUGGUGAAUCUGUGGAAUUCUCUGCCUCAGAGGGCAGUGGAGGCAGGUUCUCUGGAUACUUUCAAGAGAGAGAGCUAGAUAGGGCUUUUAAGAUUGGGGAUGAUCAGCCAUGAUCACAUUGAAUGAUGGUGCUGGCUCGAAGGGCCGAAUGGCCUACUCCUGCACCUAUUGUCUAUUGUCAUUCAAUCAUGGCUGAUCUAUCUUCCCCUCUCAACCCCAUUCUCCUGCAUACUCCCCGUAACCCCUGACACCUGGACCAAUCAAGAAUCUAUCUACUUCUCCCUUUUAAAAAUAAAACCAUGAACUCCAAUACAAGAUCAACAGAGUGCUGAUGCUUGAUGGAUGGGAAUACAAAGCACCACCCUGAACCUGUGCAGUUUUACAUAGCAACUAGCAACAUAUUUCCAUGACCAUUUGGGCUUUUUUUCCCCAUUGGCACAGUGGGUGAUAUAAUGAAAUAAUUUAAAAUAAAGAAGUAUGUUUCAGGUUUUUAUCAGUUUACAGUGAAGAAUCUUAGAAUGGGUGGCCAGUGAGGCAAGGCUAUGGAGCAAAGAGAGAGAAGUCCUCAUGCUCAAAGGCAUGAGGCUUUAAGCUUAAUUUCCAGCAUAAAUGGUAUUGAUUGUGGCCAUGAAUUUCCGGCUGCAUUGAAGACGAUUCUUAAGCAUUGUAACAGAAGCUCAAUUAGCAUUUAUUCAAGGUGAGUUCCCUCUAUAUUUCCACCAAUGUUAAGGGUGUUCUGAUGAAAUGUUAGACCUUUGUUAACAUGUAGAAUGAAUGGAUGAAUAAUGACAAUAAGUAAUGAGUAAUAAUGACAAUACAAUGAGUAAUACAGCAUGGAAACAGGCCCUUCAGCUCAACUUGCCCAUACCGACCAACAUGUCCCAUCUACACUAGUCGCACCUGCCUGCGUUUGGCCCAUAUCCCUCUAAACCUGUCCUAUCCAUGUACACGUCUAAUUGUUUCUUAAAUAUUGUGUUAGUCCCUGCCUCUACCCUCCUCCAGCAUCAUUUACACAUCAUUAUCUUUGUGUGCUCCCAUUGCAUGGCCUUGAGUGCUCAAUGAUUAUCCUGCACAGCUAACAAUGUUGUAUAGGAAGGAACUGCAGAUGCUGGUUUACACCAAAGAUAGACACAAAAUUCUGCAGUAACUCAGCAGUAAGGAGGAAACUCUGGAGAAAAGGAAUAGGUGCAAUAACCUCUCUCUUUGUUCCCCCUCUGUGAUUCCCCCACGUUGACCAUUGUGGGCUCUUUGAUCAUCAGUGUCGGCUCCGAUCUGUUCUGUACCUUUUCAUACCUCUAGUUUCCCCUCUCCCCUGACUCUGAGUCUGAAGAAGGAUCUCAACCCAAAAUGGUCAGAGAGUAGGGAUAAAGAGGUGGUAAUCUAACAGGCAGCAUCUCUGGAGAAAAGGAAUAGGAUCGCGACCCAAAAUGGGUCUCUCUGUCUCUUGGUGCUUGGCCAAUGCUCGUGAAAACUCCUGCAAUUAAAAUGUAAGUUCUGUGUGGAACAUAACGGAAUCUGCUGCGAUCAUUCUUCCAAAGGAAUUCUACACAAGAGCGGAACUAUUAUGCUUUUCAGCUUUUUGAGUUUACCCUAAGUAUCUCAGCUGCGCUAAAGUUUCUAUACAAGGUAAACAAUGACCUAGUUGUAUGUGCUUCACAAUUCAGAGCUCAUUGAUAUUAACUAGUGUUUUGUAGAUGUAUAGAGGAUUACAUUUAUAUGCACACUACAUCACUGUUCCUUUGCUGCCAUGAUGAUAAUUAAUUGUCUUUUGAUUCUGAUUAAGUUGAAGCAUUGCCAACUCGUGUACAUGCCAACCCUGUCAAGUAUGCGUAGGUUAUUUUGUUCGAACCUAUAACAGAAACAGAGGUCCUAUUUUUAUCCACCAUUUGAGAAUCAGGAUUAUAUAUUUUGUAUAUUCAAGGUUCAUAUUCUCAACGUAUCAUAUUUAAAAGCAGUUUAAGUAGGCUUUAGAUUGGUAGUCUAUGAAUAUGCAGUAUUAGAGGCGUUAAACUAAUGACCAAGUCCAAUCACUCACAACUGGUGGGCUGGCAGUUGACUCCUGGCUAUUCCUGAAAAUUCCAUUUUAAGCAGGGUGCAAGGACACCAAAUUCACAUGCAGUUUCAUACCGUUUCAAGCAGGUUUCAAGACCACUAAAGAGAGCGAGUCGUGACCUCUCCCUCCUCCAUCUUGCAGAGACAGAGCCACGCCCACACUUCUGGGUUUUAUAGUCCCUCCCCCUCCCAGCAGAAGAGGCGUGGCCUUCAUGGCAUGAUUGACAGGAGCGAGAAUCCCAACAUUUUUUAAACAAUAAUAACUCUUAUUAUUCAUCGAUGGGAAAAAUCCUCGGCACCUGAUGAGCGGAGGGGGACUUCAAGUAAGAUGGCCAAAAAUCACAGCCGUUCAUGGUAGCGUUUAUCCUAAAAUCAAUAUACAACAUAAACAGGAAGUGGUCAAGAUUAGAAUUUUUAUUAUAUAGACAGCAAGGCAACUUUAGCAUUCUCAAACCAACUUUUCAAUUAGACAAGGCAUUCUCAAACCAACUUUUCAAUUAGGG
Long non-coding RNA from Leucoraja erinaceus (little skate), 5931 nucleotides. RefSeq lists it as uncharacterized. The transcript is spliced from 3 exons. Lineage: Eukaryota; Metazoa; Chordata; Chondrichthyes; Rajiformes; Rajidae. The record is from RefSeq and is a predicted model, not a curated record.